This is a non-coding RNA of Penaeus vannamei (Pacific white shrimp), 120 nucleotides long. NCBI's taxonomy places the organism in Eukaryota, Metazoa, Arthropoda, Malacostraca, Decapoda, Penaeidae. The record is from RefSeq and is a predicted model, not a curated record.
UCAUAAUAUUAAAAAGUCUUACUCGUUAAAGACAGGGGUCUAUGUUAAGGGUAUGAUGCCCAUGCUUACGGGGUUGAAACUACAACAUAUAGGAACACAUCAUAGAGGCUUGGGUAAGUU